This is a non-coding RNA of Lonchura striata (white-rumped munia), 385 nucleotides long. The record is from RefSeq and is a predicted model, not a curated record. Lineage: Eukaryota; Metazoa; Chordata; Aves; Passeriformes; Estrildidae.
CAGGAGUACUAUGCCUUUCAUGGGUACAGAGCCAAGAAACAAUAAUUUCACAAAGUCUGCUAGCAAGAAGUGGAUCCUCAAGAGAUGUGGAUUGCCAAAAUGUGCAAAGCAGGGUGCAGCUGAUGGCAGGGCAGGUCACAGUGCUGAUGAUUCUGAGGAGCAUCAUCUCCAUGACAGCAAGGGUCUGACGUUUAUUACCUCACCAAUUUCAGCUAAAAUCUAAGGAGGAAAUUGAUUUAGGAUGAAAACAGGUAAUAAUAGCUUGAUUAGAAUCAUUUUCAGCUUCAAAGAACUCUCAUGUUCUUCUGAAUAAAAUAAUGAUCAUUAAAUCAAUUUGUGUAUCUCUGAUCAUUUUUUUGCCUUUUCUGAAGGUGAUGUUCUUUGC